GACGCUGAGGAGCGAAAGCGUGGGGAGCGAACAGGAUAAGAUACCCGGGUAGUCCACGCCGUAAACGAUGAGUGCUAAGUGUAAGGGGGUUUCCGCCCCUAAGUGCUGAGCAAACGCAUAAGCACUCCGCCUGGGGAGUACGGUCGCAAGACUGAAACUCAAAGGAAUGGACGGGGGCCCGCACAAGCGGUGGAGCAUGUGGUUAAUUCGAAGAACGCGAAGAACCUUACCAGGUCUGGACAUCCUCUGACAACCCAAGAGAUAGGGCUUUCCCUUGGGGGAAAGAGUGACAGGUGGUGCAUGGUGUGUCAGCUCGUGUCGUGAGAUGUUGGGUUAAGUCCCGCAACGAGCGCAACCCUUGAUCUUAGUUGCCAGCAUUUAGUUGGGCACUUAAGGUGACUGCCGGUGACAACCGGAGGAAGGU
Molecule: ribosomal RNA, 424 nt
Filed under: Bacillus sp. LEM_CA-29
Lineage: Bacteria; Bacillati; Bacillota; Bacilli; Caryophanales; Bacillaceae
Description: bacterial SSU rRNA
Rfam family: Bacterial small subunit ribosomal RNA
Source: RNAcentral